UACGAAGGGGGCUAGCGUUGUUCGGAAUCACUGGGCGUAAAGCGCACGUAGGCGGAUCUUUAAGUCAGGGGUGAAAUCCCGAGGCUCAACCUCGGAACUGCCUUUGAUACUGGGGAUCUCGAGUCCGGGAGAGGUGAGUGGAACUGCGAGUGUAGAGGUGAAAUUCGUAGAUAUUCGCAAGAACACCAGUGGCGAAGGCGGCUCACGGGCCCGGAACUGACGCUGAGGUGCGAAAGCGUGGGGAGCGAACAGG
RNAcentral lists this ribosomal RNA (253 nucleotides) under uncultured bacterium. RNAcentral describes it as "partial 16S ribosomal RNA". It matches the Rfam family "Bacterial small subunit ribosomal RNA", at positions 524 to 776 of the family's 1533-position model. The record is from RNAcentral.